Molecule: long non-coding RNA, 382 nt
Organism: Selaginella moellendorffii
Lineage: Eukaryota; Viridiplantae; Streptophyta; Lycopodiopsida; Selaginellales; Selaginellaceae
Exons: 2
Source: RefSeq, a predicted model, not a curated record
UGCAGCAAAGAUUGCGCCAAGAAUACCAAAGAGUUCUUCAUGGAGGGGGACUUGCGACUUUGCUCGAGAAAGAAAUCUCAAGGCCGUGCAACACCCUGUUUGCAACACAAAGACUUUCAAAGAGCACCACACAGAGCACUCUCGGCCUUCAAGUGCGGUAACUUCGUGAUGCUGGUAGGCAAUGGAUUGAUCCUUCCAGUGUUCUGCUCGUUCGUGCUUGGCAUCGUUCCAGUCUCGAUCGUCCUCUUGUACUGCUAGUGCUAGCUGGGCGUAGCUUGCAUUUUCCAAGUCUCAAAAGUAGAAUCUUUUGCAUUCUCCCUUUUGCUCAUGAAACAUAUUUUAAAUGUGUUUUUUAAUAAUUAAUAUUUUUCAUAGUUAUCUC